RNAcentral lists this transfer RNA (80 nucleotides) under Clostridiales bacterium. RNAcentral describes it as "tRNA-Leu". It matches the Rfam family "tRNA". From Rfam's summary of the family: Transfer RNA (tRNA) molecules are approximately 80 nucleotides in length. The record is from RNAcentral. Lineage: Bacteria; Bacillati; Bacillota; Clostridia; Eubacteriales.
GCGGAUGUGGCGGAAUUGGCAGCCGCGCCAGCCUUAGGAUCUGGUGGGCGACCGUGGGGGUUCGAGUCCCUUCAUCCGCA